GAACAUCAUAAUAUAUUACAUUAUUCGGCUGAUGUAUCGAUUAUUUAUACUUGUUAUAUGUGGCAACCCUGGAUAGUUGUUUCGUGAUGAAAACAAGUACAUUUCAGAAUGGCGACGUAACGGUUGUAAUGUAAAAAUCUAAAACCAAAUUAUCAAUUUGAAAAAGGUAUCCACCUUGGAAAACGUGAUAUUUAACCCCUUGUUAAACACUAUAAAGAUGAAUUCGUUGCGAUUCACCCUACGUUUAUUAUUCUCCAAAGCCAAUGAUGUAGUACACAACUGCGAGCUGUCAGAGUUUAGUGUCCAAUUCAACCAAAACAAAGCUUUCGUAAGGUACACAUUAGACGAUAGCAGAAAAAGCAUUGUAGUAAAUCAUACCGAGGUACCGCAAAUUUUUCAAGGACGUGGUGUAGGAAAACAAUUGGCAGAGGCCAUUAUUCAGCAUGCGAUACAAGAAAAAUUAAAAAUAUCCUUCGAUUGCAAGUUUACCGAAAAAUACUACAAUGAACAUAAAAAUCGAUUUUUAGGAUGAUCGGGAUCAUCUUUAAGCUUGUAUUUACGAAACAAUAUAAAUCAGGUUUUCCAUAAAUCAACAUAUACGUACAGAAUACACAACGGCCGCUUACAGAAAAAGCGAGAAGCUAAACUAAACUGUAGUAAAUGUGAGAAUCUUA
Long non-coding RNA from Malaya genurostris, 674 nucleotides. RefSeq lists it as uncharacterized. The transcript has 3 exons. Lineage: Eukaryota; Metazoa; Arthropoda; Insecta; Diptera; Culicidae. The record is from RefSeq and is a predicted model, not a curated record.